UAGGGAAUCUUCGGCAAUGGACGGAAGUCUGACCGAGCAGCGCCGCGUGAGUGAAGAAGGUUUUCGGAUCGUAAAGCUCUGUUGUAAGAGAAGAACGAGUGUGAGAGUGGAAAGUUCACACUGUGACGGUAUCUUACCAGAAAGGGACGGCUAACUACGUGCCAGCAGCCGCGGUAAUACGUAGGUCCCGAGCGUUGUCCGGAUUUAUUGGGCGUAAAGCGAGCGCAGGCGGUUAGAUAAGUCUGAAGUUAAAGGCUGUGGCUUAACCAUAGUACGCUUUGGAAACUGUUUAACUUGAGUGCAAGAGGGGAGAGUGGAAUUCCAUGUGUAGCGGUGAAAUGCGUAGAUAUAUGGAGGAACACCGGUGGCGAAAGCGGCUCUCUGGUCUGUAACUGACGCUGAGGCUCGAAAGCGUGGGGAGCAAACAGGAUUAGAUACCCUGGUAGUCCACGCCGUAAACGAUGAGUGCUAGGUGUUGGGUCCUUUCCGGGACUCAGUGCCGCAGCUAACGCAUUAAGCACUCCGCCUGGGGAGUACGACCGCAAGGUUG
Molecule: ribosomal RNA, 550 nt
Filed under: uncultured bacterium
Lineage: Bacteria
Description: bacterial SSU rRNA
Rfam family: Bacterial small subunit ribosomal RNA
Source: RNAcentral